GACGAACGCUGGCGGCGUGCUUAACACAUGCAAGUCGAACGGAAAGGCCCUGCUUGCAGGGUACUCGAGUGGCGAACGGGUGAGUAACACGUGGGUGAUCUGCCCUGCACUUCGGGAUAAGCUUGGGAAACUGGGUCUAAUACCGGAUAGGAGCCAUCUUUAGUGUGGUGGUUGGAAAGUUUUUUCGGUGUAGGAUGAGCUCGCGGCCUAUCAGCUUGUUGGUGGGGUAAUGGCCUACCAAGGCGGCGACGGGUAGCCGGCCUGAGAGGGUGUACGGCCACAUUGGGACUGAGAUACGGCCCAGACUCCUACGGGAGGCAGCAGUGGGGAAGAUUGCACAAUGGGCGCAAGCCUGAUGCAGCGACGCCGCGUGGGGGAUGAAGGCCUUCGGGUUGUAAACUCCUUUCGCUAGGGACGAAGCUUUGUUGUGACGGUACCUAGAGAAGAAGCACCGGCUAACUACGUG
This 466-nucleotide ribosomal RNA is filed under the name uncultured bacterium. RNAcentral describes it as "partial 16S ribosomal RNA". It matches the Rfam family "Bacterial small subunit ribosomal RNA", at positions 28 to 507 of the family's 1533-position model. The record is from RNAcentral.